CACGGCUUACAACACUGCUUGGGAACGCCUAAAGGAGAGGUACAAUAGGCCACGCCAUAUUGUAAAGCGGUCACUUGAGACCGCUCCAUUCCCAGUCGCGUCAGCGCCGUCUUCUUGACUCUCAGCGCUAUGUUGAACAGCGAGCCGGCAUUUAAUCGUCUGCGGCGGUCGCUCUCACGAAAGAAGCUUUGGGAAGAUUCCGUUCCAAUCCACGUGGUUUAGAAAUAUUCAAGCUCUGCGAAUAUUUCUGGAGCCAACGAAAUAAAUAUUUUAGGAUGUUGACACGCAUAAUUGGAAAAUGAUCACUGCCGUGCAGGUCAUCUAUAACUGACCACUUACAGAAAGGGUAGAGCGAAGGAGAGAUAAAUGUCAGAUCAAUAUGGGAUAUAUGAAUCGACAAUUGUUAACUUUAUAUCCAGGUCUAAGCUAGCCAUCUGCUAGUGUAAAAUAUAAUAGUGUAAAAUAUUUGAGUUAACCGAAUUCUGCAUAAGCGAGUAGGGUAGGUGUCACCUAACAACGAUCCCUACACCUUGCUUUGCUGUUAAGUUGGAAGCAAGAUUGGUAAAAUAUCCAAUUUAUUGCUUUGGGCAAAUUGUGUUGUGGGCAUUGUGGGGUAGGUGCGUCUUCUGAAGACAUAUAAUGUCUGGUCGAUAUUUAUUAAUUAGAAUGCUAAAUUCAUCAUAGUUAUUAAAGUAUCCUUUCAAGUUCCACUGAACAAUCAUAAGAUUCAUAAGAUGCAAUAGUUGGAAAUAAGGCUACAGGAAUUAAGAUUAUAAACUUUUAUUGGGACAUUCACUCCUCCGAGUCCUUCUAAAAUAACAAACAAAACCAAACAUUGUGCAAAAAAAGAAAAACAUCUCUACGGGUCCAAGGAUGUUCAGUUGCUUUUAAAGAUUUACCUUACUAUUUUGUAAUAAAUUCUCAACAGGUUUUUCUCUAUAGUGAACAUGCCAUUAGGUACCUCCAUAUACAUCCCCAAAGCUGGGUGGUAGUUAUACUCUGGAUACAACAAAUCACUAGUUCAUAAAUCUUUUAUAUACUUUAUGAAACUAGUCUAUUUAGUGGAUGUAGAUUUUCGAGAACUUGACUCUCCUCCCUUUUCAAGUUAGUGGCUGUACGUAUUUCGGCGCAGCCAAAUUUUGCUCCGGUUCUCUGGUUAUGUAAUGGUAUGCGUAUAUUUAUAAUUAUUUCUACUUGCAAUAAAGUGUUUUAUAACUAA
Long non-coding RNA from Drosophila willistoni, 1219 nucleotides. RefSeq lists it as uncharacterized. NCBI's taxonomy places the organism in Eukaryota, Metazoa, Arthropoda, Insecta, Diptera, Drosophilidae. The transcript has 2 exons. The record is from RefSeq and is a predicted model, not a curated record.